UACGUAGGUGGCAAGCGUUGUCCGGAUUUACUGGGCGUAAAGGGCGUGCAGGCGGUUUGUUAAGUGCAGAGUGAAAGCUCCCGGCUCAACUGGGAGAGGUCUUUGCAUACUGGCAAACUCGAGGGAGGCAGAGGAAAGUGGAAUUCCCGGUGUAGUGGUGAUAUGCGUAGAUAUCGGGAGGAACACCGGUGGCGAAGGCGGCGACCUGGGUAGAUACUGACGCUGAGGCGCGAAAGCGUGGGGAGCAAACAGG
RNAcentral lists this ribosomal RNA (253 nucleotides) under uncultured bacterium. Its description in RNAcentral is "partial 16S ribosomal RNA". It matches the Rfam family "Bacterial small subunit ribosomal RNA", at positions 524 to 776 of the family's 1533-position model. The record is from RNAcentral.